AUUGAACGCUGGCGGCAUGCCUAACACAUGCAAGUCGAACGAGACCCCUGACUUCGGUUGGCGGGUCUAGUGGCGCACGGGUGCGUAACGCGUGGGAAUCUGCCCUUGGGUUCGGAAUAACUCAGAGAAAUUUGAGCUAAUACCGGAUGAUGACGAAAGUCCAAAGAUUUAUCGCCCAGGGAUGAGCCCGCGUAAGAUUAGCUUGUUGGUGGGGUAAUGGCCUACCAAGGCGAGGAUCCGUAGCUGGUCUGAGAGGACGACCAGCCACACUGGGACUGAGACACGGCCCAGACUCCUACGGGAGGCAGCAGUGGGGAAUAUUGGACAAUGGGGGCAACCCUGAUCCAGCAAUACCGCGUGUGUGAAGAAGGCCUGCGGGUUGUAAAGCACUUUCAGUGGGAGGAAGAGCUUAUUGUUAAUAGCAAUGAGUUGAGACGUUACCCACAGAAGAAGCACCGGCUAACUCUGUGCCAGCAGCCGCGGUAAAGUACAGU
Molecule: ribosomal RNA, 494 nt
Filed under: uncultured bacterium
Lineage: Bacteria
Description: bacterial SSU rRNA
Rfam family: Bacterial small subunit ribosomal RNA
Source: RNAcentral